UACGGAGGGGGCAAGCGUUGUUCGGAAUUACUGGGCGUAAAGGGCGCGUAGGCGGCCUUGUAAGUCAAAGGUGAAAUCCCUCGGCUCAACUGAGGAACUGCCUUUGAAACUGCAAGGCUUGAGGCCGGGAGGGGGUAGCGGAAUUCCCAAUGUAGCGGUGAAAUGCGUAGAUAUUCGGAAGAACACCAGUGGCGAAGGCGGCUCACUGGACUGGUAUUGACGCUGAGGUGCGAAAGCGUGGGGAGCAAACAGG
Molecule: ribosomal RNA, 253 nt
Filed under: uncultured bacterium
Lineage: Bacteria
Description: partial 16S ribosomal RNA
Rfam family: Bacterial small subunit ribosomal RNA
Source: RNAcentral